RNAcentral lists this ribosomal RNA (490 nucleotides) under uncultured bacterium. RNAcentral describes it as "partial 16S ribosomal RNA". It matches the Rfam family "Bacterial small subunit ribosomal RNA", at positions 28 to 507 of the family's 1533-position model. The record is from RNAcentral.
GAUGAACGCUAGCUACAGGCUUAACACAUGCCAGUCGAGGGGAAACGAUGAGAGAGCUUGCUCUCUUAGGCGUCGACCGGCGCACGGGUGAGUAACGCGUAUCCAACCUACCCAUUACAGGGGGAUAACCUUGCGAAAGUAAGACUAAUACCCCAUGGCAUUUUAUGGUGGCACCAUUAUAGGAUUAAAGAUUUAUUGGUAAUGGAUGGGGAUGCGUCUGAUUAGCUUGUUGGCGGGGUAACGGCCCACCAAGGCAACGAUCAGUAGGGGUUCUGAGAGGAAGGUCCACCACAUUGGAGCUGAGACACAGUCCAAACUGCUACGGGAGGCAGCAGUGAGGAAUAUUGGUCAAUGGGCGAGAGCUUGAACCAGCCAAGUAGCGUGCAGGAUGACGGCGCUAUGGGUUGUAAACUGCUUUUAUAGGGGAAUAAAGUGAGCUACGUGUAGUUUAUUGCAUGUACCCUAUGAAUAAGGACCGGCUAAUUACGUG